Molecule: ribosomal RNA, 1725 nt
Filed under: Belonolaimus longicaudatus
Lineage: Eukaryota; Metazoa; Nematoda; Chromadorea; Rhabditida; Belonolaimidae
Description: SSU rRNA
Rfam family: Eukaryotic small subunit ribosomal RNA
Source: RNAcentral
AUGCAUGUAUAAGUAUAAACGACUUGAUCGUGAAACCGCGAACGGCUCAUUAUAACAGCUAUAAUUUACUUGACCUUGACAAUUUACUUGGAUAACUGUGGUAAUUCUAGAGCUAAUACAUGCACCAAAGCUCCGACUUCGGGAAGAGCGCAUUUAUUAGAACAAAACCAGGCGGCUUCGGCCGUACUCUGUUGACUCAGAAUAACUAAGCUGAUCGCAUGGUCUUGAACCGGCGACGUGUCUUUCAAGUAUCUGCCUUAUCAACUUUCGAUGGUAGUGUAUCUGACUACCAUGGUGGUGACGGGUAACGGAGGAUAAGGGUUCGACUCCGGAGAAGGGGCCUGAGAAAUGGCCACUACGUCUAAGGAUGGCAGCAGGCGCGCAAAUUACCCACUCUCAGAACGAGGAGGUAGUGACGAGAAAUAACGAGAUCGUUCUCUUUCGAGGCCGAUCAUCGGAAUGGGUACCAUUUAAACCCCUUUAACGAGUAUCUACGAGAGGGGCAGUCUGGUGCCAGCAGCCGCGGUAAUCCAGCCCUCGAAAUGCAUAGAAUCAUGGCUGCGGUUAAAAAGCUCGUAGUUGGAUCUGUGCUGGCCGGUCGGUCCACCUUCGGGUGUGUACUGAUUUGGUCGGCUUUCUAGUUGGAUUUUCUCCUAGUGGGCUUCACUGUUCGCUUGGAGUGUCUAACGAGUUUACUUUGAACAAAUCAGAGUGCUUCAAACAGGCGUUUCGCUUGAAUGUUCGUGCAUGGAAUAAUAGAAGAGGAUUUCGGUUCUAUUUUAUUGGUUUUAUAGACUGAGAUAAUGGUUAACAGAGACAAACGGGGGCAUUCGUAUUGCUGCGUGAGAGGUGAAAUUCUUGGACCGUAGCAAGACGAACUACAGCGAAAGCAUUUGCCAAGAAUGUCUUCAUUAAUCAAGAACGAAAGUCAGAGGUUCGAAGGCGAUCAGAUACCGCCCUAGUUCUGACCGUAAACGAUGCCAACUAGCGAUCCGCCGGUGGUUUUUUUGCCCUGGUGGGGAGCUUCCCGGAAACGAAAGUCUUCCGGUUCCGGGGGAAGUAUGGUUGCAAAGCUGAAACUUAAAGGAAUUGACGGAAGGGCACCACCAGGAGUGGAGCCUGCGGCUUAAUUUGACCCCACACGGGGAAACUCCCCCGGCCCGGACACCCGUAAGGAUUGACAGAUUGAUAGCUUUUUCAUGAUUCGGUGGAUGGUGGUGCAUGGCCGUUCUCUAGGUUCGUGGAGCGAGUUUGUCUGGUUUAUUCCGAUAACGAGCGAGACUCUAGCCUACUAACUAGUCCACACAUUGUCACUGUGUGCGCGACUUCUUAGAGGGAUUUUCGGUGUACAGCCGCACGAAAUUGAGCAAUAACAGGUCUGUGAUGCCCUUAGAUGUCCGGGGCUGCACGCGCGCUACACUGGCAAAAUCAGCGUGCUUGUCCUUCCCCAAAAGGGGCGGGUAAACCCUUGAAAAUUUGCCGUGAUUGGGAUCGGAAAUUGCAAUUAUUUUCCGUGAACGAGGAAUUCCAAGUAAGUGCGAGUCAUCAACUCGCGUUGAUUACGUCCCUGCCCUUUGUACACACCGCCCGUCGCUGCCCGGGACUGAGCCAUUUCGAGAAACUUGGGGAUUGUUGGUUUAGCGGUUUUCGGAUCGCUUCAUCGAUGAGAACCAAUUUAAUCGCAGUGGCUUGAACCGGGCAAAAGUCGUAACAAGGUGGCUGUAG